CAGGCUUAACACAUGCAAGUCGAGGGGCAGCAUGGUCUUAGCUUGCUAAGGCCGAUGGCGACCGGCGCACGGGUGAGUAACACGUAUCCAACCUGCCGUCUACUCUUGGACAGCCUUCUGAAAGGAAGAUUAAUACAAGAUGGCAUCAUGAGUCCGCAUGUUCACAUGAUUAAAGGUAUUCCGGUAGACGAUGGGGAUGCGUUCCAUUAGAUAGUAGGCGGGGUAACGGCCCACCUAGUCUUCGAUGGAUAGGGGUUCUGAGAGGAAGAUCCCCCACAUUGGAACUGAGACACGGUCCAAACUCCUACGGGAGGCAGCAGUGAGAAAUAUUGGUCAAUGGGCGAGAGCCUGAACCAGCCAAGUAGCGUGAAGGAUGACUGCCCUAUGGGUUGUAAACUUCUUUUAUAAAGGAAUAAAGUCGGGUAUGGAUACCCGUUUGCAUGUACUUUAUGAAUAAGGAUCGGCUAACUCCGUGCCAGCAGCCGCGGUAAUACGGAGGAUCCGAGCGUUAUCCGGAUUUAUUGGGUUUAAAGGGAGCGUAGAUGGAUGUUUAAGUCAGUUGUGAAAGUUUGCGGCUCAACCGUAAAAUUGCAGUUGAUACUGGAUAUCUUGAGUGCAGUUGAGGCAGGCGGAAUUCGUGGUGUAGCGGUGAAAUGCUUAGAUAUCACGAAGAACUCCGAUUGCGAAGGCAGCCUGCUAAGCUGCAACUGACAUUGAGGCUCGAAAGUGUGGGUAUCAAACAGGAUUAGAUACCCUGGUAGUCCACACGGUAAACGAUGAAUACUCGCUGUUUGCGAUAUACGGCAAGCGGCCAAGCGAAAGCGUUAAGUAUUCCACCUGGGGAGUACGCCGGCAACGGUGAAACUCAAAGGAAUUGACGGGGGCCCGCACAAGCGGAGGAACAUGUGGUUUAAUUCGAUGAUACGCGAGGAACCUUACCCGGGCUUAAAUUGCAGAUGAAUUACGGUGAAAGCCGUAAGCCGCAAGGCAUCUGUGAAGGUGCUGCAUGGUUGUCGUCAGCUCGUGCCGUGAGGUGUCGGCUUAAGUGCCAUAACGAGCGCAACCCUUGUUGUCAGUUACUAACAGGUUCCGCUGAGGACUCUGACAAGACUGCCAUCGUAAGAUGUGAGGAAGGUGGGGAUGACGUCAAAUCAGCACGGCCCUUACGUCCGGGGCUACACACGUGUUACAAUGGGGGGUACAGAGGGCCGCUACCACGCGAGUGGAUGCCAAUCCCAAAAACCUCUCUCAGUUCGGACUGGAGUCUGCAACCCGACUCCACGAAGCUGGAUUCGCUAGUAAUCGCGCAUCAGCCACGGCGCGGUGAAUACGUUCCCGGGCCUUGUACACACCGCCCGUCAAGCCAUGGGAGCCGGGGGUACCUGAAGUGCGUAACCGCGAGGAGCGCCCUAGGGUAAAACUGGUGACU
Molecule: ribosomal RNA, 1429 nt
Filed under: uncultured organism
Description: 16S ribosomal RNA
Rfam family: Bacterial small subunit ribosomal RNA
Source: RNAcentral